RNAcentral lists this unclassified non-coding RNA (222 nucleotides) under Emarellia grisea. RNAcentral's name for it is "sequence contains ITS1". The stretch from base 174 to 222 matches the Rfam family "5.8S ribosomal RNA", at positions 1 to 49 of the family's 154-position model. Lineage: Eukaryota; Fungi; Ascomycota; Dothideomycetes; Pleosporales; Trematosphaeriaceae. The record is from RNAcentral.
CUGCGGAAGGAUCAUUACCAAAGGCGUCUCUCUGGGGCGCUUUGCUCUUACCCUUUGCCUAUUCUACCUCUGUACGUCCCUUCGGCCCUGGGUGCACCCCAGCCGAAGGGCCUUGAUAAAACCUUCUUUAUCGAAAGCCGUUUUCUUCUGAUUGUGGGGUAUGUCGAAUUUACAACUUUCAACAAUGGAUCUCUUGGCUCUGGCAUCGAUGAAGAACGCAGC